AAAGAAGUAUUAGAAUAAAAUCUUAAAUAUAUUUUAAAAAAAUUCAAAUCAAAUCUUAAUUUAAUCUUAGUUAAAAUCCUAAAUAAAAUCCUAAAUGAAUCCUAAAUAAUCCUAAAUCCUAAAAAAAUCUUAAAUCUUAAUAAAUUCUUAAAUCCUAAAUCAAACUCUAAUCAAAUUAAUCUAUUCCUAGAACAAUAUAGAACUUCAAUAUCUAUCAAUUAUACCGUUGAUCUUACUUAAGAUUUUAUAUAUCUUUC
This 257-nucleotide long non-coding RNA is filed under the name Physcomitrium patens. RNAcentral's name for it is "long non-coding RNA (PPAT_LNC001961)". The record is from RNAcentral. Lineage: Eukaryota; Viridiplantae; Streptophyta; Bryopsida; Funariales; Funariaceae.